This 420-nucleotide ribosomal RNA is filed under the name Triticum aestivum (bread wheat). RNAcentral's name for it is "partial small subunit ribosomal RNA". Lineage: Eukaryota; Viridiplantae; Streptophyta; Magnoliopsida; Poales; Poaceae. The record is from RNAcentral.
AUGGAUUACAAGGACCGACGUGUUGGGUAUAUAAGAGAACUAUAUUAUGAUUUGACGCAAGACAGAUGGGAUGCUUACCCGGGUGAAGCUGUGCUGGUGAAAGCAUGCAGCCUUGCUCACACAAUGCUCGACAUGGAGUUGGAGCUCACACAUAAGCUGGUAAUAAUAGGAACAGUGUGGACGGAUAUGUUGUGCUAUGCAGCAAUCAAUGCAUCGGGGGGAUUCCAUGCCAGGCAGCUGAGCAAAGGUGGUGAGUUUCUGACCCACAUCUUGCUCCUCACCAAAUAUUGUGCUGCUAUGCCCAACAUAGCAAAUCCGUAUGUCAGAGCAGCUGACGAACCUGUGAAUGAUAGUGCUGGCGACAUCGAGGUCAUGAUGAACAGCACGACCAGCACGAACAACAACUACUCCUACUACUAA